GAGUAACACGUGAGUAACCUGCCCUUGACUCUGGGAUAAGCGUUGGAAACGACGUCUAAUACCGGAUACGAGCUUCAGCCGCAUGGCUAGGAGCUGGAAAGAAUUUCGGUCAAGGAUGGACUCGCGGCCUAUCAGCUAGUUGGUGAGGUAAUGGCUCACCAAGGCGACGACGGGUAGCCGGCCUGAGAGGGUGACCGGCCACACUGGAACUGAGACACGGUCCAGACUCCUACGGGAGGCAGCAGUGGGGAAUAUUGCACAAUGGGCGAAAGCCUGAUGCAGCAACGCCGCGUGAGGGACGACGGCCUUCGGGUUGUAAACCUCUUUUAGCAGGGAAGAAGCGAAAGUGACGGUACCUGCAGAAAAAGCACCGGCUAACUACGUGCCAGCAGCCGCGGUAAUACGUAGGGUGCAAGCGUUGUCCGGAAUUAUUGGGCGUAAAGAGCUCGUAGGCGGUUUGUCGCGUCUGCUGUGAAAUCCCGAGGCUCAACCUCGGGUCUGCAGUGGGUACGGGCAGACUAGAGUGCGGUAGGGGAGAUUGGAAUUCCUGGUGUAGCGGUGGAAUGCGCAGAUAUCAGGAGGAACACCGAUGGCGAAGGCAGAUCUCUGGGCCGUAACUGACGCUGAGGAGCGAAAGGGUGGGGAGCAAACAGGCUUAGAUACCCUGGUAGUCCACCCCGUAAACGUUGGGCGCUAGAUGUGGGGACCAUUCCACGGUUUCCGUGUCGUA
This 730-nucleotide ribosomal RNA is filed under the name Plantibacter auratus. Its description in RNAcentral is "bacterial SSU rRNA". It matches the Rfam family "Bacterial small subunit ribosomal RNA", at positions 108 to 850 of the family's 1533-position model. The record is from RNAcentral. Lineage: Bacteria; Bacillati; Actinomycetota; Actinomycetes; Micrococcales; Microbacteriaceae.